This 369-nucleotide long non-coding RNA is filed under the name Daucus carota (carrot). RNAcentral describes it as "long non-coding RNA (DCAR_LNC007569)". The record is from RNAcentral. Lineage: Eukaryota; Viridiplantae; Streptophyta; Magnoliopsida; Apiales; Apiaceae.
GUACACAACCACACUAGCCUCUUACGCCACCAUGCUGGGCCGUUACGGAAUAACGGACCUCUUAUGCAGCUCCAAAAGAAUAUCUGAUCCAUUUCCAGUUUUCAAUUUGAUUUGUAUCUAUCCCAUUCUCAAAACCAUUACAUGAUAUUCAUGAAUCAAUACCAUGUCUCAAAGAAUUAUAUCACAGGUUUAGUAAUGAUAAUCACUAAACAUUUUCAGAAUUUGAAUCUAAUCCGGGAUAGAUAUUCACAAGUUACUAUUCCCCUAAAACAAUUUAAAAGAUAUUAAAAUCCAUAGAAACAGGGGAAUACGUACUUAAAACAUUUAAUAUUUGACAUGCAGUCUUGCUCUGUGUUAUUCAUAUAUAAG